GCUGGAAUAGCUUACUUGGUAGAGGACAGGACUGAAAA
RNAcentral lists this transfer RNA (38 nucleotides) under Calycularia crispula. RNAcentral describes it as "partial tRNA-Phe". Lineage: Eukaryota; Viridiplantae; Streptophyta; Jungermanniopsida; Fossombroniales; Calyculariaceae. The record is from RNAcentral.